GACGAACGCUGGCGGCGUGCUUAACACAUGCAAGUCGAACGAGAAGAGAUGAGAAGCUUGCUUCUUAUUGAUUCGAGUGGCAAACGGGUGAGUAACGCGUAAGCAACCUGCCCUUCAGAUGGGGACAACAGCUGGAAACGGCUGCUAAUACCGAAUACGUUCUUUUGUCGCAUGGCAGAGGGAAGAAAGGGAGGCUCUUCGGAGCUUUCGCUGAAGGAGGGGCUUGCGUCUGAUUAGCUAGUUGGAGGGGUAACGGCCCACCAAGGCGACGAUCAGUAGCCGGUCUGAGAGGAUGAACGGCCACAUUGGGACUGAGACACGGCCCAGACUCCUACGGGAGGCAGCAGUGGGAAUCUUCCGCAAUGGACGAAAGUCUGACGGAGCAACGCCGCGUGAACGAUGACGGCCUCGGGUUGUAAAGUUCUGUUAUACGGACGAAUGGCGUAGCGGUCAA
This 454-nucleotide ribosomal RNA is filed under the name uncultured bacterium. Its description in RNAcentral is "bacterial SSU rRNA". It matches the Rfam family "Bacterial small subunit ribosomal RNA", at positions 28 to 464 of the family's 1533-position model. The record is from RNAcentral.